This 469-nucleotide ribosomal RNA is filed under the name uncultured bacterium. RNAcentral describes it as "partial 16S ribosomal RNA". It matches the Rfam family "Bacterial small subunit ribosomal RNA", at positions 28 to 507 of the family's 1533-position model. The record is from RNAcentral.
GACGAACGCUGGCGGCGUGCUUAACACAUGCAAGUCGAACGGAAAGGCCCUGCUUGCAGGGUGCUCGAGUGGCGAACGGGUGAGUAACACGUGGGUGAUCUGCCCCUUACUUUGGGAUAAGCCUGGGAAACUGGGUCUAAUACUGGAUAGGACCAUGCUGUAGGUGGUGUGGUGGAAAGAUUAGCUUCGGUAAGGGAUGAGCUCGCGGCCUAUCAGCUUGUUGGUGGGGUAAUGGCCUACCAAGGCGUCGACGGGUAGCCGGCCUGAGAGGGUGGACGGCCACAUUGGGACUGAGAUACGGCCCAGACUCCUACGGGAGGCAGCAGUGGGGAAUAUUGCACAAUGGGCGCAAGCCUGAUGCAGCGACGCCGCGUGGGGGAUGACGGCCUUCGGGUUGUAAACUCCUUUCAGCCAUGACGAAGCCCUUGUGGUGACGGUAGUGGUAGAAGAAGCACCGGCUAACUACGUG